CAAGAGACCCUUAAUAAAGACAAGUAUGAGGAAAGAAGAUGUUUUUCAUUUAAGUGAUCAAUACUUCUGUGAGGCAAUCUCAGAAUGUACCAGCUCUGUUUUCUUACAGCAGUAGUUAUCAACUGGGGCAACUGCAAUGGACAGGCAAGCCUCACUCAGGACACAGCACUCACGGUGCUGCAGGGACAAAGUGCUCAGCUAACCUGCACAUUAAGUAACACAGACAAAAUUGGUUCUGAAUAUUUCAACUGGAUCCAGCAAAAACCUGGACAUGCACCAAGGCUUGUUUAUUACAACUAUCAUAAUGGAAACAAAGAGGGUAGAGGUCUUGGAAUACCAGAGAGAUUUACUGGUUCUAUUGAUACAUCAAACAAUGUGGGUCGCUUGGGCAUCUCUAAUGUCCAGACUGAAGACAAUGCUGAUUAUUAUUGUGUCACAUGGGUUAGCAGUGGUAAUGUACCCACAGCAUUAUAAUCUAAGAGAGAAGUGAAACAAAAACUUUCCAGUCAUUAUUGGUAUGUUUUAGUUUUCUCACAGACUGCUGACCUGAAGUAAAUAAUUUGAUAUUAAAUAAACGGGAACAUAAGAAUUUAAAAAGCUGCUGUACUAAAUGUUGAGAGAUUAUGACUGUUAUUUACAUCAUUUUUAUUAAUUUGAUCCAUGAUGCUUAUCUAAAACUGGGACACAGUUUCUAGUUACACCAACUGGGACACAGUUUCUAGUUACACCAGUCAGUGUGCUCCCAAAAUGUCUGUGGAAGUGACUGCCAGUUUACUGUAAUUCCUGACACUGAUUAUAGAUUAUAGGCAUUAUUUCACUAUAUCACUUACAGCAGACUUGAAGUGAGUUAAGUUUUGCCCCUGGUACCUACAGUGUAAUAAAUGCUGACUUCUGGUCUGAUAAUAAUACUAAUUCAG
Non-coding RNA from Protopterus annectens (West African lungfish), 917 nucleotides. NCBI's taxonomy places the organism in Eukaryota, Metazoa, Chordata, Ceratodontiformes, Protopteridae. The record is from the annotation of a RefSeq genome assembly.